Aedes albopictus (Asian tiger mosquito) is the source of this 1009-nucleotide long non-coding RNA. RefSeq lists it as uncharacterized. Lineage: Eukaryota; Metazoa; Arthropoda; Insecta; Diptera; Culicidae. The record is from RefSeq and is a predicted model, not a curated record. The transcript has 3 exons.
GGAGAGCCCCUCUUGUACUGUGUAAUUAGAGCGCUUUGGUGAGCCCCUUGAGCGGGCGAACUGAGAGAACUGUCAAGCUAUUUGUCAACAAGUUUAUUUGUAAAUAUUGAGAGUUGCUUUUUGCUGACCCAGCAACACCAAAAAUCGACUCGGUCGUGAUAGAUUCCCGGAUUUGGCCCGCCGACAGAUCUAGGGAUUUAAAGGCUUGAUCGACAACGAUCGAGGACACUCCGUUGGUCAAUUGAAAACCGGAUUGACCAACAAUAAAAAUACAAUUACAAUUACAAUUACAAUUGGUACAGGAAACGCUGUGGCGGACCGCAAAACGCGUCUCGCCGAAGGAUGAAUUCGCGAAAUUCGAAGCGCAAAUUAAGGACUUCCAGGAGUUCCGCUAAGGUGAAAAGCAGAAAAUCGUCCACGCGUUUCACAUCAUCGAUGCAAUGCUCCUGGGUGAUCUGGAAGUUCUUUCUCGAUUGACGGCGCCAGUGCUCGAAAACGACUUCAAGCGUUUCAAUUGGGUGGAAACUAAGCAGUUAUACAUUCCACAAGGAACGCUCUUCAUGCGGAGUGUGCAGACCGAUCUGAAGGGAGCCGAGAAGCAGCUGGAUUUUUGGAAGGCUUUCGGCAGCCGGAUCCUGUGGCUACUCGUCGACGCAGCGGUUCAACGCUCCCAAAGAACUGAACUCGGUCUACCGGCAAGAUUUCGAUGUGUUCAUUGAAAAAUGCGUCGAUAAGAAGUAACGUGAAGUGGCACUAGGCGUAAAGUAUACCUUUAGUUUCGGAAGUAAAUACGCAGUUCAAUUUGAAUUUCAGUAUGUUUUAAGAUACUGUUCGAUAAAUGUUGUUUGGUCUACUUGACUUAAAAUAAAAGCUACUGUACCCAAUGAAUAAGUAUAAUCUACGCAGGGGUUGUCCAUAUAUGGUUUUUGACCCCAUUUCCGGCACUCAACGAAACGACCGUUUUCUUCCACUUCUUUCAUCUGAAUCAGAUACCUUAUUGCGUGAACUU